UGGCACAUUCAACUGAUACAUACUAAUUUCAUAAUCUGGUAUGGAAAACAAACAACUGAAACUUGGCAUUGAUCUUAAACAAAAUUGAUACAUAAUUCCAUUUGGAUUCAACUUAAUUCCAUUGUACUUAUACAAUACAUAUACUGAUACACACUUCUACUUGCAUUCAACUUAUAAUUCCAUUGUACUGAUACAUAAUUAUAUUUAAAAUAUCCUGACUAUUAAAACAAUGAAAACAAGAAAAAAAAUCUUUCAAAAUUUCUUCCAGUUCAAAAUGUUCUUCAUAUCAACUUCAAGUUCCAACAAAUAUUGCUUUUCUUCCUCAAUUGUGUCCCUGAUUUUUUCAAGAUUAUCCAUAUGCCCUUCAUUUUCUUUUGUUAACUUUUCCAUCCCCACUUUUACUUCACCAUAAAUUGAUCAUUCUCAUCUUCCACUUCUUCAUAAAAUCAAUCAAAGAAUCCACACCCAGUUUGAGUAGAGCCAUGUGUAUGAUAAACCAAACAAAAAUGUUAAACCAACUAACUAUGAAAGUUUACCUUAAAAUGUGGAGAUUCCAAAAAUUACUUGCCAUAAUAGUUGUUAAAUGUUGUUGCCCUACGAAGAACAACAAUGUCUCCACAACGACAAAUCGGCCAUCAUCGAAGGUUGGAACUUCUGUAAACCUUCUAAUCAAAACUCCCAUAACUCUUCCUUUUUGUUAUUGAUGAAUAACACCCAUAACUUAUUUUUACAAGUUUUCACGAUUUCAGGGUCCAAUUUGCCAGAAGAGAAGGCAAUGGUGAUGACAAUCAAAGAGAUUUGUGCCAUAAUUUUAUUUAGGGUUCAUUUGACAAAGGAGUUUGAAACAAACAUAGUAAAAAAGAAAAUGAUGAUGAGCAAAUUAAUCUUUUUAAAAAUUAAAGGAGCAAAACAGAUUUGAAUUAAAGAUAAG
This 931-nucleotide long non-coding RNA is filed under the name Lathyrus oleraceus (garden pea). RNAcentral's name for it is "Pisum sativum (pea) long non-coding RNA (PSAT_LNC029116)". The record is from RNAcentral. Lineage: Eukaryota; Viridiplantae; Streptophyta; Magnoliopsida; Fabales; Fabaceae.